AGAGUUUGAUCCUGGCUCAGAACGAACGCUGGCGGCAGGCUUAACACAUGCAAGUCGAGCGCCCCGCAAGGGGAGCGGCGGACGGGUGAGUAACGCGUGGGAACCUUUCUUUCGGUACGGAAUAACCUGGGGAAACUCGGGCUAAUACCGCAUACGCCCGCAAGGGGAAAGAUUUAUCGCCGAUAGGUGGGCCCGCGUUG
Molecule: ribosomal RNA, 200 nt
Filed under: uncultured bacterium
Lineage: Bacteria
Description: partial 16S ribosomal RNA
Rfam family: Bacterial small subunit ribosomal RNA
Source: RNAcentral